CAGUGAGCAGUGGUUUGUAGCUGGAGAGCCAUGGUUUGAAUGUCUUGGUUAGACAGGGUCAUGGUGGGAGUAUUCCCUGCCAAGCCUGGCGAGGGAUUAAGAGAGAUGGGUGUUUGGUUAUUUAACGUCGUAGGGCUAGAAAAAGAGAACUGCUGCCCCUCUUGGGCGGAGCUUAAGUCAUUUGAAAUAUUAAGGUUACUUUCUUGGUGGUUUGCCAUUGUGGAUCUCAGUGGGUUUUGAAAGUGAAAACUCCGGUGAUGAAAAGAUCUCCUUCGUUUCCCACAGACGGCGCCAAUUGAUGAUCUGAGAUCCAAUAGAAUAGAGUUUUACAAGGGUUUUGUAUUACUGAAUCAGGCUUAAACUUUCUGAGGAGGGGACUCCUCUUUUAUACAUUGUCUUGCUUGUUGGUGACGUGUAAAGGUCUCUCCAGGAUUGGGCCACGCGUCUCUGUCAUACAGAUUCGGGUGUACUAGGGUAUCAGCUGCCUGUUACAUGCGUAACGGCCUCUGAUUCUCCUCAUACGUACGUUCGAGCGGAUCUGCCAGGCUGUCUGGUGAGUACUGUGCUGGACUCCGGGCUGGGCUGAGAGUUGGGCUGGACGCUGGGCCUGAGAGGGGUCUGCUGGUCAGGGAUCAGGCUGGACUGAUUGAGGAAGCUUGGUCGAGCCCGGCCCGGAAGCUGGGAUGAGCCAGGCUUGUUGGGGGGUAUCAAGUACGUGGGCCUCUGUGUCAUGGGCCUUAGGCUGGGGUCAAGCCUCUGUUCUGGG
RNAcentral lists this long non-coding RNA (766 nucleotides) under Manihot esculenta (cassava). RNAcentral describes it as "long non-coding RNA (MESC_LNC004188)". The record is from RNAcentral. Lineage: Eukaryota; Viridiplantae; Streptophyta; Magnoliopsida; Malpighiales; Euphorbiaceae.